Molecule: ribosomal RNA, 291 nt
Filed under: uncultured bacterium
Lineage: Bacteria
Description: partial 16S ribosomal RNA
Rfam family: Bacterial small subunit ribosomal RNA
Source: RNAcentral
GUGCCAGCCGCCGCGGUAAUACGGAGGGUGCAAGCGUUAUCCGGAUUUACUGGGUUUAGGGGGUGCGUAGGUGGCAAGUAAGUCAGUGGUGAAAUCUCCGAGCUUAACUUGGAAACUGCCAUGGAUACUAUAGGUCUUGAAUACUGUGGAGGUCAGCGGAAUAUGUCAUGUAGCGGUGAAAUGCUUAGAUAUGACAUAGAACACCAAUUGCGAAGGCAGCUGGCUACACAAAUAUUGACACUGAUGCACGAAAGCGUGGGGAUCAAACAGGAUUAGAUACCCUGGUAGUCC